This 124-nucleotide small RNA is filed under the name Marmota monax (woodchuck). The record is from RNAcentral. Lineage: Eukaryota; Metazoa; Chordata; Mammalia; Rodentia; Sciuridae.
GCCAGUGUGGUGGCACACACCUGUAAUCCCAGUGGCUUGGGAGGCUGAGGCAGGAGGAUCAUGAGUUCAAAGCCAGCCUCAGCAACAGCAAGGUACUAAGCAACUCAGUGAGAUCCUGUCUCUA